CCUCCCUGACGUAGCAAACCGAUCGUCGGAUAUUGAUUGUCUCAAAGGUCUAGUGAGAGGACAUGAAGCUCAUUAAGAGAGGUGGAGUCAUGGACUGGUGGUGAACAUGAGGCCCAUUGGAGAGAUAGUUGUCGGGGCGUUACAUGAGCCUUCUUAGAAACGAAAUACUUGAUCAGAAAAGUGCUACAUUAUAGAGUUCUUCAUAUUAAAAAAAAAAAAAUUUAAAUGUUUUCCACUGUCGGGAUUCGAACCCGGAAGUGAGAGCAAUGUUUUUUUAAACAUAGCAUUUUAACCAAUGUGCUAUAGCAAAUCUUUUGUGAUUAUAUGAAUUCAUAAACUAUUAUAUAUAAAUAUUUGAAUAUUUAAAGGGUAUACAAUAUUAGUCUAUUAGCAAAGCAUUCACUUUGUUGUUACGAGCCUUCUUAGAAACGAAAGACUUGAUCAAAAAAGUUCUACAUUCUAGAGUUUCUAGAAUUAACAAAAAAAAAUUGAAAAAUGUUUUCCGCUGCUAGGCUUUGUACCCGAAAAUUGAUGAGGUGCAAAGAAGCGAAGAUGUGGAACCGGUUCGCCGCUCGGUUUGACCAAGGAUACCAAACCGCAAGUAUCUCGAUUGAAGUCAACAUUUGGAGACUUAAGUUUAUUUCUUUGCUUUUUUUUGUUUUUUUUGUUGCAAAUAAGUUGAAGUGGUGUUCCACUUUAAAACGAGCCAUUCAACCACUUUCGCUAUUCCCUAAGUCGUAGGUAU
Molecule: long non-coding RNA, 745 nt
Filed under: Capsella rubella
Lineage: Eukaryota; Viridiplantae; Streptophyta; Magnoliopsida; Brassicales; Brassicaceae
Description: long non-coding RNA (CRUB_LNC003783)
Source: RNAcentral